This 497-nucleotide ribosomal RNA is filed under the name uncultured bacterium. Its description in RNAcentral is "partial 16S ribosomal RNA". It matches the Rfam family "Bacterial small subunit ribosomal RNA", at positions 28 to 507 of the family's 1533-position model. The record is from RNAcentral.
GAUGAACGCUGGCGGCGUGCCUAAUACAUGCAAGUCGAGCGAACGGACGAGAAGCUUGCUUUUCUGAUGUUAGCGGCGGACGGGUGAGUAACACGUGGAUAACCUACCUAUAAGACUGGGAUAACUUCGGGAAACCGGAGCUAAUACCGGAUAAUAUUUUGAACCGCAUGGUUCAAAAGUGAAAGACGGUCUUGCUGUCACUUAUAGAUGGAUCCGCGCUGCAUUAGCUAGUUGGUAAGGUAACGGCUUACCAAGGCAACGAUGCAUAGCCGACCUGAGAGGGUGAUCGGCCACACUGGAACUGAGACACGGUCCAGACUCCUACGGGAGGCAGCAGUAGGGAAUCUUCCGCGAUGGGCGAGAGCCUGACGGAGCAACGCCGCGUGAGUGAUGAAGGUCUUCCGAUCGUAAAACUCUGUUAUUAGGGAAGAACAUAUGUGUAAGUAACUGUGCACAUCUUGACGGUACCUAAUCAGAAAGCCACGGCUAACUACGUG